This 301-nucleotide ribosomal RNA is filed under the name uncultured bacterium. RNAcentral describes it as "partial 16S ribosomal RNA". It matches the Rfam family "Bacterial small subunit ribosomal RNA", at positions 509 to 808 of the family's 1533-position model. The record is from RNAcentral.
CAGCCGCCGCGGUAAUACGUAUGUCACGAGCGUUAUCCGGAUUUAUUGGGCGUAAAGCGCGUCUAGGUGGUUAUGUAAGUCUGAUGUGAAAAUGCAGGGCUCAACUCUGUAUUGCGUUGGAAACUGUAUAACUAGAGUACUGGAGAGGUAAGCGGAACUACAAGUGUAGAGGUGAAAUUCGUAGAUAUUUGUAGGAAUGCCGAUGGGGAAGCCAGCUUACUGGACAGAUACUGACGCUAAAGCGCGAAAGCGUGGGUAGCAAACAGGAUUAGAUACCCGGGUAGUCCCUGUCUCUUAUACA